GCGCCUAUAGCUCAACGGAUAGAGCAAUAGUCUUCGGAACUAUUUAUGCAAGUUCGAUUCUUGCUAGGCGCG
This 72-nucleotide transfer RNA is filed under the name Candidatus Gottesmanbacteria bacterium. RNAcentral describes it as "tRNA-Arg". It matches the Rfam family "tRNA". From Rfam's summary of the family: Transfer RNA (tRNA) molecules are approximately 80 nucleotides in length. Their secondary structure includes four short double-helical elements and three loops (D, anti-codon, and T loops). Further hydrogen bonds mediate the characteristic L-shaped molecular structure. tRNAs have two regions of fundamental functional importance: the anti-codon, which is responsible for specific mRNA codon recognition, and the 3' end, to which the tRNAs corresponding amino acid is attached (by aminoacyl-tRNA synthetases). tRNAs cope with the degeneracy of the genetic code in two manners: having more than one tRNA (with a specific anti-codon) for a particular amino acid; and 'wobble' base-pairing, i.e. permitting non-standard base-pairing at the 3rd anti-codon position. The record is from RNAcentral. Lineage: Bacteria; Candidatus Gottesmaniibacteriota.